RNAcentral lists this small RNA (23 nucleotides) under Arabidopsis thaliana (thale cress). Its description in RNAcentral is "ATSL178110". The record is from RNAcentral. Lineage: Eukaryota; Viridiplantae; Streptophyta; Magnoliopsida; Brassicales; Brassicaceae.
AAAACCAAAAAAAAAUAUAGUAG